AUGGACGGGGGUGGUGAACUGGGGAUCACCAAGAAAGAGGCGGAGGCCGAGUACCAUUGCCACGACUUCGAGUGGGAGGACCUCCGGGCGGAUGUGGAAGCCAACCCUUCCUUCUCCUACCACCUGUCCCCUUUCCCCACGACCACCGCCUCACCGCAGCCACCGUCAUCGGAGGCCUGGAGAAGCUUCCACCGCCGCCACGCCUCCGGCAGGUUCUUCAAGGAAAGAAGGUAUUUGCUGAAGGAAUUUCCUGAACUGCUUAACAGCAAAGGAUGUGCAAAGGUUUUAGAGGUUGGGUGUGGGAAUGGAAGCACUGUUGUCCCCAUUCUACGAUGUAGUCCAAGCAUCACUGUCUAUGCUUGUGAUUGUAGUGAAGACACUCUAGAGAAAGCAAAUGAGAUUGUGUGUAAUACACAGGGGGUAGAUGCCAAGGAUAGGUUCCACCCUUUUUUGCUGGAUGUUUCUAGAGAAAAUUUUCCAGGUUGGUUGUUCUGCAAAUGUUGUCAAAGUUCAGAUGGAAAGGUUGUUGAUCUCUCACCAGAUUCAAUUCAUCUUUAUGUAAGGGGGAAAAACUCAAUCUCGCUGAAAGAAGAUCAGUGUUGUGUUGGCGGCAUAGAUUUUAUCACCAUGAUAUUUACGUUGUCAGCCAUACCCUUCAACACAAUUUCAGCUACUCUAGAGCGUUGUGUGUCUGUUCUAAAACCAGGCGGCCUUAUUUUGUUCAGGGAUUAUGGCGUUUAUGACAUGACAAUGCUUCGAUUCUUGCCUCACCAAAGAGUGGGAUUUCGGGAAUAUAUGCGUGCUGAUGGCACCUAUUCGUAUUUCUUCUCGUUGGACACUGUAAGAGAACUCUUUCAUGCUGCUGGGCUACUAGAGUUGGAGCUGGAAUACUGCUGUGUCAGAUCAGUGAAUCGAAAGAAUGGCAAGAACAUGCAAAGGGUAUGGGUGCAUGGAAAAUUUAAAAAACCCACAAGUCAAUGA
Molecule: ribosomal RNA, 981 nt
Filed under: Triticum aestivum (bread wheat)
Lineage: Eukaryota; Viridiplantae; Streptophyta; Magnoliopsida; Poales; Poaceae
Description: partial small subunit ribosomal RNA
Source: RNAcentral